AUACGGAGGAUCCGAGCGUUAUCCGGAUUUAUUGGGUUUAAAGGGAGCGUAGAUGGAUGUUUAAGUCAGUUGUGAAAGUUUGCGGCUCAACCGUAAAAUUGCAGUUGAUACUGGAUAUCUUGAGUGCAGUUGAGGCAGGCGGAAUUCGUGGUGGAGCGGGGAAAUGCUUAGAUAUCACGAAGAACUCCGAUUGCGAAGGCAGCCUGCUAAGCUGCAACUGACAUUGAGGCUCGAAAGUGUGGGUAUCAAACAGGAUUAGAUACCCUGGUAGUCCACACGGUAAACGAUGAAUACUCGCUGUUUGCGAUAUACUGCAAGCGGCCAAGCGAAAGCGUUAAGUAUUCCACCUGGGGAGUACGCCGGCAACGGUGAAACUCAAAUGAAUUGGCGGGG
RNAcentral lists this ribosomal RNA (393 nucleotides) under uncultured bacterium. RNAcentral's name for it is "partial 16S ribosomal RNA". It matches the Rfam family "Bacterial small subunit ribosomal RNA", at positions 523 to 918 of the family's 1533-position model. The record is from RNAcentral.